Molecule: ribosomal RNA, 638 nt
Filed under: uncultured bacterium
Lineage: Bacteria
Description: bacterial SSU rRNA
Rfam family: Bacterial small subunit ribosomal RNA (bases 1-544)
Source: RNAcentral
CCUACGGGAGGCAGCAGUGGGGAAUAUUGGACAAUGGGGGCAACCCUGAUCCAGCCAUGCCGCGUGUGUGAAGAAGGCCUUCGGGUUGUAAAGCACUUUAAGCGGGGAGGAAGGGCUUUGGGUUAAUAACCUGGAGCAUUGACGUUACCCGCAGAAUAAGCACCGGCUAACUCUGUGCCAGCAGCCGCGGUAAUACAGAGGGUGCAAGCGUUAAUCGGAAUUACUGGGCGUAAAGCGCGCGUAGGCGGUUGUGCAAGUUGGAGGUGAAAUCCCCGGGCUUAACCUGGGCACUGCCUUCAAAACUGCACGGCUAGAGUAUGGGAGAGGAAGGUAGAAUUCCAGGUGUAGCGGUGAAAUGCGUAGAGAUCUGGAGGAAUACCGAUGGCGAAGGCAGCCUUCUGGCCUAAUACUGACGCUGAGGUGCGAAAGCACGGGGAGCAAACAGGAUUAGAUACCCUGGUAGUCCAUGCCGUAAACGAUGUCAACUAGUUGUUGGGAGACUUGAUCUCUUAGUGACGCAGCACGACAUUAAGUUAGUACCGCCGUCGGGUAGGUACGGUCGCGAGAACGUAAACGUACGAAAGAAAGUUAAACGUACGUAGAGACGUAGCCGACGGACGACGACGAGGGAGGAGGAG